AUAAUACUGACAGGAGAAAUACCAUGAUCACGAAGGUGGCUUUCCCAGGGCUAGGCUUAUCCAUUCUAUUCCAGAUGUGCUGCCCUUGCGAUUUCCCCAGAUGUGGGAAACUCAACUGCAUAAUUUGUGGUAGUGGGGGACUGUGUUCAUACUUUCCUACU
Molecule: small nuclear RNA, 161 nt
Organism: Otolemur garnettii (small-eared galago)
Lineage: Eukaryota; Metazoa; Chordata; Mammalia; Primates; Galagidae
Gene: U1
Rfam family: U1 spliceosomal RNA
About the family: U1 is a small nuclear RNA (snRNA) component of the spliceosome (involved in pre-mRNA splicing). Its 5' end forms complementary base pairs with the 5' splice junction, thus defining the 5' donor site of an intron. There are significant differences in sequence and secondary structure between metazoan and yeast U1 snRNAs, the latter being much longer (568 nucleotides as compared to 164 nucleotides in human).
Source: Ensembl